Molecule: small RNA, 26 nt
Filed under: Bombyx mori (domestic silkworm)
Lineage: Eukaryota; Metazoa; Arthropoda; Insecta; Lepidoptera; Bombycidae
Description: ovarian small RNA-3424
Source: RNAcentral
UCGCAUAGGUUCCGAUACAAAUGGGC